GGUCCAGCCCCAGCGGGUCCAGGGGUCCCCAAAGGUGUGGACGAAGUCGGCGAAGAAGGAAUGACAUGGAGACAGCGUUCAGUUGAUCAGCAGCCUAGCCAGGAUCUCUAGCCAGGAUCUCCAGCCAAGUUCUGGUCUGGAUCUCCAGCGAAGUUCUGGUCUGGAUCUCCAGCGAAGUUCUGGUUAGGAUCUCCAGCCAGGUUCUGUGUCCAUGUUCUCUUGCUAGGUUCUCCAGCCAGGUUCUAUAGCCAUGUUCCCUCGCUAGGUUCUCCAGCCAGGUUCUGUCCAGGUUCUCCAGCCAGGUUCAGUCACCAGGUUCUAGUCAGGUUCUCUUGCCAAUUUCUGUAGUCAGGUUCAGUCCAGGAUCUUUUGCCAUGUUCUCUCGCUAGGUUCUGUCUCUAGGUUCUGUGCCUCUUGGUUCUGUGUAGGUUCUGUGUCUAGGUUCUGUGUCUAGGUUCUGUGUCUAGGUUCUGUCUCUAGGUUCUUCAGCCAGGUUCUCUUGCUAGGUUCUGUCUCUAGGUUCUGUGUAGGUUCUGUGUCUAGGUUCUGUGUCUAGGUUCUGUGUCCUGUUGUCUUGUUACAUCUGUAUUUAUACCAGUUGAUUCCAAUCCUAUCAAUCUCUAUUCCAAAGGUUAGGGCGUUUCUUAUCUCCAUUCCAGGGAGUAAAGAUUAUGUAGCUUAAGCAUGAUUGUUCGUAGUUAAAGUGAUUAAUU
Long non-coding RNA from Myotis daubentonii (Daubenton's bat), 713 nucleotides. RefSeq lists it as uncharacterized. Lineage: Eukaryota; Metazoa; Chordata; Mammalia; Chiroptera; Vespertilionidae. The record is from RefSeq and is a predicted model, not a curated record.